Molecule: ribosomal RNA, 355 nt
Filed under: uncultured bacterium
Lineage: Bacteria
Description: partial 16S ribosomal RNA
Rfam family: Bacterial small subunit ribosomal RNA
Source: RNAcentral
GAAUUCACUAGUGAUUCAGGGGGGGCUCAUCCACCUCAAAAGGUAGAGAGAAGCUUGCUUCUCUUGAAAAAAAAGGACGGGUGAGUAAUGCCUAGGAAUCUGCCUGGUAGUGGGGGAUAACGUUCGGAAACGGACGGUAAUACCGCAUACGUCCUACGGGAGAAAGCAGGGGACCUUCGGGCCUUGCGCUAUCAGAUGAGCCUAGGUCGGAUUAGCUAGUUGGUGAGGUAAUGGCUCACCAAGGCGACGAUCCGUAACUGGUCUGAGAGGAUGAUCAGUCACACUGGAUUUGAGAAACGGUCCAGACUCCUACGGGAGGCAGCAGUGGGGAAUAUUGGCCAAUGGGCGAAAGCCU